GGGGUUUUGCCUUGCUCUGUAGCAGGAUUUUGGCCCUCUUCUUAGGAUCUCUCAAGCACACUUUAAUAACCUGUGUAGCAGCAAGACAUGGGCUACCAUUGUCCCCCCUGCUUUACUUGUGGCAGUUCAGGGUGCUGUGCUGGUAGUUUUGCGACAGGGUUAACAGUUUAAUUUUAAUAAGAGGUUAGACAAGGAUUUGCACAGAAAGGCAUGGAUAGGAUGAUCCUGCCUCAGGCAGGACGUUGCAUUAGCUGACCUCUGGAGAUCCCUUCCAGGCCUACUUCUCUGUGAUUCUAAUAUUUGUGCCACACCUUGCAAAGGUAAAGUGCCGCAUGCAUGUGUAUGUAUUAUUCAAAAGGUAAAACAUUGCUUGUGGUCAGUCCAUUCCUGAGCCUAAUGAUCUCCAUUUUGUUUGAAUUUCACAGGCUGUCUGCGAAGACGACAGAGAGGACUGAGUCCCUGUAUUGUCUGAAGACUUCCUCCCUCCCCCCACAGGACACAUGAGAGGAUGUUAGUGGUGGAGAUCAAGUUGUUCAGAA
Molecule: long non-coding RNA, 539 nt
Organism: Gavialis gangeticus (Gharial)
Lineage: Eukaryota; Metazoa; Chordata; Crocodylia; Gavialidae
Exons: 2
Source: RefSeq, a predicted model, not a curated record